Molecule: ribosomal RNA, 490 nt
Filed under: uncultured bacterium
Lineage: Bacteria
Description: partial 16S ribosomal RNA
Rfam family: Bacterial small subunit ribosomal RNA
Source: RNAcentral
AUUGAACGCUGGCGGCAGGCCUAACACAUGCAAGUCGAACGGUAACAGGAAGAAGCUUGCUUCUUUGCUGACGAGUGGCGGACGGGUGAGUAAUGUCUGGGAAACUGCCUGAUGGAGGGGGAUAACUACUGGAAACGGUAGCUAAUACCGCAUAACGUCGCAAGACCAAAAAGGGGGACCUUCGGGCCUCUUGCCAUCGGAUGUGCCCAGAUGGGAUUAGCUAGUAGGUGGGGUAACGGCUCACCUAGGCGACGAUCCCUAGCUGGUCUGAGAGGAUGAACAGCCACACUGGAAGUGAGACAGGGCCAGGCCCCCUAGGGAGGGCGGCAGUGGGGAAUUUGGCAAGAGGGGCGAAGGCUGGAUGCAGCAAGCCCGGGUGUAUGAAAAAGGCCUUGGGGUUUUAAAGUUCUUCGGGGGGGGGGGAAGGGAGAAAGUUUAAUCCUUUUCCUCAUGGACGUCACCCGAGGAAGAAGCCCGGGCAAACCCCGUG